GUCCACGGAUUGUUAGUUUUUAAAAUAAGAAUGAUGUCUUUGUACUUAAUGAAACAACCCUUCAUUGCUUGUCAAGAGGACUCAGGAUAUCAACUCUCCAGGCCCCUGGCAAUGCAGUAUACAUCAAAUGAGUUUAGGAGUGAAGAAUGAAAUGGAUAAAUAGAUAAAUAAAUGGGCUAUCCUAACAUAGUGCAACACCCGGAAGAGGAGAUUUGACAAAGGAGAAGAAAACUGAGCUAUAGAGAUGGAGAGAAAAGGUA
Orcinus orca (killer whale) is the source of this 260-nucleotide long non-coding RNA. RefSeq lists it as uncharacterized. The transcript is spliced from 4 exons. The record is from RefSeq and is a predicted model, not a curated record. Lineage: Eukaryota; Metazoa; Chordata; Mammalia; Artiodactyla; Delphinidae.